This 72-nucleotide transfer RNA is filed under the name Peribacillus frigoritolerans. RNAcentral's name for it is "tRNA-Lys". It matches the Rfam family "tRNA". Rfam says of the family: Transfer RNA (tRNA) molecules are approximately 80 nucleotides in length. Their secondary structure includes four short double-helical elements and three loops (D, anti-codon, and T loops). Further hydrogen bonds mediate the characteristic L-shaped molecular structure. tRNAs have two regions of fundamental functional importance: the anti-codon, which is responsible for specific mRNA codon recognition, and the 3' end, to which the tRNAs corresponding amino acid is attached (by aminoacyl-tRNA synthetases). tRNAs cope with the degeneracy of the genetic code in two manners: having more than one tRNA (with a specific anti-codon) for a particular amino acid; and 'wobble' base-pairing, i.e. permitting non-standard base-pairing at the 3rd anti-codon position. Lineage: Bacteria; Bacillati; Bacillota; Bacilli; Caryophanales; Bacillaceae. The record is from RNAcentral.
GGGAUUUUCGUAUAAUGGUAGUACUUAUGACUUUUAAUCGUAAUGGAGGGGGUUCGAAUCCCUCAGGUCCUA